AACAAGAAAAAUAGAAUCUGAAA
This 23-nucleotide small RNA is filed under the name Arabidopsis thaliana (thale cress). Its description in RNAcentral is "ATSL099770". Lineage: Eukaryota; Viridiplantae; Streptophyta; Magnoliopsida; Brassicales; Brassicaceae. The record is from RNAcentral.